AGUGAACGCUGGCGGUAGGCCUAACACAUGCAAGUCGAACGGCAGCACAGUAAGAGCUUGCUCUUACGGGUGGCGAGUGGCGGACGGGUGAGGAAUACAUCGGAAUCUACUUUUUCGUGGGGGAUAACGUAGGGAAACUUACGCUAAUACCGCAUACGACCUACGGGUGAAAGCAGGGGAUCUUCGGACCUUGCGCGAUUGAAUGAGCCGAUGUCGGAUUAGCUAGUUGGCGGGGUAAAGGCCCACCAAGGCGACGAUCCGUAGCUGGUCUGAGAGGAUGAUCAGCCACACUGGAACUGAGACACGGUCCAGACUCCUACGGGAGGCAGCAGGGGGGAAUAUUGGACAAUGGGCGCAAGCCUGAUCCAGCCAUACCGCGUGGGUGAAGAAGGCCUUCGGGUUGUAAAGCCCUUUUGUUGGGAAAGAAAAGCAGCAGGUUAAUACCCCGCUGUUCUGACGGUACCCAAAGAAUAAGCACCGGCUAACUUCGUG
Molecule: ribosomal RNA, 492 nt
Filed under: uncultured bacterium
Lineage: Bacteria
Description: partial 16S ribosomal RNA
Rfam family: Bacterial small subunit ribosomal RNA
Source: RNAcentral